UACGGAGGGUGCAAGCGUUAUCCGGAUUCACUGGGUUUAAAGGGCGCGCAGGCGGAUUGGUAAGUCAGUGGUGAAAGGCUUAAGCUUAACUUGGGAACUGCCAUUGAUACUAUCAGUCUUGAAUGUUGUUGAGGUUUGCGGAAUGGGUCAUGUAGCGGUGAAAUGCAUAGAUAUGACCCGGAACACCUAUUGCGAAGGCAGCAGGCUAAACAAAUAUUGACGCUGAGGCUCGAAAGCGUGGGGAUCAAACAGG
RNAcentral lists this ribosomal RNA (253 nucleotides) under uncultured bacterium. RNAcentral's name for it is "partial 16S ribosomal RNA". It matches the Rfam family "Bacterial small subunit ribosomal RNA", at positions 524 to 776 of the family's 1533-position model. The record is from RNAcentral.